This 500-nucleotide ribosomal RNA is filed under the name uncultured Glomeromycotina. RNAcentral's name for it is "partial small subunit ribosomal RNA". It matches the Rfam family "Eukaryotic small subunit ribosomal RNA", at positions 591 to 1092 of the family's 1831-position model. The record is from RNAcentral. Lineage: Eukaryota; Fungi; Glomeromycota.
CCAAUAGCGUAUAUUAAAGUUGUUGCAGUUAAAAAGCUCGUAGUUGAAUUUCGGGAUCAAAAUGCUGGUCGUACCAUUGGUAUGUACUAGUAUUAUUGGUUUCUUCCUUCUGAUGAACCAUGAUGUCAUUAAUUUGAUGUCAUGGGGAAUCAGGACUGUUACUUUGAAAAAAUUAGAGUGUUUAAAGCAGGCUUGCGCUUGAAUACAUUAGCAUGGAAUAAUGAAAUAGGACGUUUGAUUCUAUUUUGUUGGUUUCUAGGAUUGACGUAAUGAUUAAUAGGGAUAGUUGGGGGCAUUAGUAUUCAAUUGUCAGAGGUGAAAUUCUUGGAUUUAUUGAAGACUAACUACUGCGAAAGCAUUUGCCAAGGAUGUUUUCAUUAAUCAAGAACGAAAGUUAGGGGAUCGAAGACGAUCAGAUACCGUCGUAGUCUUAACCAUAAACUAUGCCGACUAGGGAUCGGAUGAUGUUAAUUUUUUAAUGACUCAUUCGGUGCCUUACG